CGGAGGAUCCAAGCGUUAUCCGGAAUUACUGGGCGUAAAGAGUUGCGUAGGUGGCAAAGUGUGUCUGUAGUGAAAGCGUGGGGCUCAACCCCAUAUACAUUAUAGAAACUGCUUGGCUAGAGGACGAGAGAGGUUAUUGGAAUUCCCAGUGUAGGAGUGAAAUCCGUAGAUAUUGGGAGGAACACCGAUGGCGUAGGCAGAUAACUGGCUCGUUCCUGACACUAAGGCACGAAAGCGUGGGGAGCAAACGGGAUUAGAUACCCCGGUAGUCCACGCCGUAAACUAUGGAUGCUAGCUGUUAUAGGUAUCGACCCCUGUAGUAGCGAAGCUAACGCGUUAAGCAUCCCGCCUGUGGAGUACGGUCGCAAGACUA
This 373-nucleotide ribosomal RNA is filed under the name uncultured organism. Its description in RNAcentral is "bacterial SSU rRNA". It matches the Rfam family "Bacterial small subunit ribosomal RNA", at positions 526 to 896 of the family's 1533-position model. The record is from RNAcentral.